AACGAACGCUGGCGGCAGGCCUAACACAUGCAAGUCGAACGAGAAGCUUGGCUUCGGCCGAGUGGAAAGUGGCGGACGGGUGAGUAACGCGUGGGAACGUGCCCCUCGGUUCGGAACAACCCUUGGAAACAAGGGCUAAUACCGGAUACGUCCGUGAGGAGAAAGAUUUAUCGCCGAGGGAUCGGCCCGCGUUGGAUUAGCUUGUUGGUGGGGUAACGGCCCCCCAAGGCGACGAUCCAUAGCUGGUCUGAGAGGAUGAUCAGCCACACUGGGACUGAGACACGGCCCAGACUCCUACGGGAGGCAGCAGUAGGGAAUCUUCCACAAUGGACGAAAGUCUGAUGGAGCAACGCCGCGUGAGUGAAGAAGGUUUUCGGAUCGUAAAGCCCUUUUCUGUGUGACGAUAAUGACGGUAGCACAGGAAGAAGUGUCGGCUAACUACGUG
RNAcentral lists this ribosomal RNA (445 nucleotides) under uncultured bacterium. RNAcentral's name for it is "bacterial SSU rRNA". It matches the Rfam family "Bacterial small subunit ribosomal RNA", at positions 29 to 507 of the family's 1533-position model. The record is from RNAcentral.